RNAcentral lists this ribosomal RNA (253 nucleotides) under uncultured bacterium. Its description in RNAcentral is "partial 16S ribosomal RNA". It matches the Rfam family "Bacterial small subunit ribosomal RNA", at positions 524 to 776 of the family's 1533-position model. The record is from RNAcentral.
UACGUAGGGGGCUAGCGUUGUCCGGAAUCAUUGGGCGUAAAGAGCGUGUAGGCGGCCCGGUAAGUCCGCUGUGAAAGUCGGGGGCUCAACCCUCGAAAGCCGGUGGAUACUGUCGGGCUUGAGUGCGGAAGAGGCGAGUGGAAUUCCUGGUGUAGCGGUGAAAUGCGCAGAUAUCAGGAGGAACACCGGUGGCGAAGGCGGAUCUCUGGGCCUGUUCUGACGCUGAGGCGCGAAAGCUAGGGGAGCGAACAGG